This is a non-coding RNA of Callithrix jacchus (white-tufted-ear marmoset), 694 nucleotides long. NCBI's taxonomy places the organism in Eukaryota, Metazoa, Chordata, Mammalia, Primates, Cebidae. The record is from RefSeq and is a predicted model, not a curated record.
CUAAGGUGGCUAGAUUGUAGGCACCGAAUUAUUACCAACUCAAAUACUUCUUUUUCAAAGCAAGACAUGGAAGGAGAAAGAAAGAUUGGGUUUCAUAUUUGGAGAAAGGACUCAGAAGUUUUUAUGCUGUGCUGGAAAUAAAAGACUCUCCUUCAUAACCCUCAAUAUGGUGGACUUUCCACAAUUUCCUGUGGCCUUGAGAAAGAUGUAGAGUCUCACUCCUUUGCCCAGGCUCAAAUGCAGUGGCACAAUAAUCGCUCAUUGCAAGCUUGAACUACUGGGAUCAAGUGAUCCUCCUGCCACAGCUUUACAAAUAGCUGAACUACAGCUGUGCAUCACUACCUCCAGCCACAGAAACAACAAAUGUUUAUUAUAAUACAGCUUUGGAGGUCAGAAGUAGUCUCAUGGGUCCAAAGUCAAGAUGUGAACAGAGCUAGUUCGUUCUGGAGGCUCCUGGGGAGAAUUCCUUUCCUUAAACUUUUCAGCUUCUAGAGGCGAAUCUUUUUGUCCAAUCCAGAGCACGUUGUUGAAUGAGAACGUUGUUUAUUUUCUGUAUUUUCAACCCAUUUACCUGUAUAUUAUCUGAACCAAGUGGGCUAAAAUGGGUUAAUGAAUUAAAGAGGUAGAAGAGAUAAAGAAAGGAGGUGAGUAACUCAGUUACUGUCUAAAUCAAAAAUAAUGAGCAUGGAUUAAG